CAAAUUAGAGCUUGAUUAGUAAAGCAUUUUAUUUACAAUAAGAUAUUGUCGUGCAAUUCGGAUUAGUUUGA
RNAcentral lists this transfer RNA (71 nucleotides) under Liopterus haemorrhoidalis. RNAcentral's name for it is "tRNA-Val". It matches the Rfam family "tRNA". From Rfam's summary of the family: Transfer RNA (tRNA) molecules are approximately 80 nucleotides in length. Their secondary structure includes four short double-helical elements and three loops (D, anti-codon, and T loops). Further hydrogen bonds mediate the characteristic L-shaped molecular structure. tRNAs have two regions of fundamental functional importance: the anti-codon, which is responsible for specific mRNA codon recognition, and the 3' end, to which the tRNAs corresponding amino acid is attached (by aminoacyl-tRNA synthetases). tRNAs cope with the degeneracy of the genetic code in two manners: having more than one tRNA (with a specific anti-codon) for a particular amino acid; and 'wobble' base-pairing, i.e. permitting non-standard base-pairing at the 3rd anti-codon position. The record is from RNAcentral. Lineage: Eukaryota; Metazoa; Arthropoda; Insecta; Coleoptera; Dytiscidae.